RNAcentral lists this ribosomal RNA (414 nucleotides) under uncultured microorganism. Its description in RNAcentral is "bacterial SSU rRNA". It matches the Rfam family "Archaeal small subunit ribosomal RNA", at positions 459 to 872 of the family's 1478-position model. The record is from RNAcentral.
CAGCCGCCGCGGUAAUACCGGCGGCCCGAGUGGCGGCCACUAUUAUUGGGCUUAAAGCGUCCGUAGCCGGGUUGGUUAGUCUCCCGGGAAAUCUGGCCGCUUAACGGUCAGAAUUCCGGGAGAUACUGCCAGCCUAGGGACCGGGAGAGGCCGAGGGUAUUCCCGGAGUAGGGGUGAAAUCCUAUAAUCCCGGGAGGACCACCUGUGGCGAAGGCGCUCGGCUGGAGCGGGUCCGACGGUGAGGGACGAAGGCCAGGGGAGCAAACCGGAUUAGAUACCCGGGUAGUCCUGGCUGUAAACGAUGCGGACUUUGUGUCGGACAAGCUAUGAGCUUGUCCGGUGCCGGAGGGAAACCGUUAAGUCCGCCGCCUGGGGAGUACGGCCGCAAGGCUGAAACUUAAAGGAAUUGGCGGG